GAUGAACGCUGGCGGCGUGCCUAAUACAUGCAAGUCGAGCGAACAGAUAAGGAGCUUGCUCCUUUGACGUUAGCGGCGGACGGGUGAGUAACACGUGGGUAACCUACCUAUAAGACUGGGAUAACUUCGGGAAACCGGAGCUAAUACCGGAUAACAUUUGGAACCGCAUGGUUCUAAAGUGAAAGAUGGUUUUGCUAUCACUUAUAGAUGGACCCGCGCCGUAUUAGCUAGUUGGUAAGGUAACGGCUUACCAAGGCGACGAUACGUAGCCGACCUGAGAGGGUGAUCGGCCACACUGGGACUGAGACACGGUCCAGACUCCUACGGGAGGCAGCAGUAGGGAAUCUUCCGCAAUGGGCGAAAGCCUGACGGAGCAACGCCGCGUGAGUGAAGAAGGGUUUCGGCUCGUAAAACUCUGUGAUUAGGGAAGAAAAAGUGUGUGAGUAACUGUGCACGUCUUGACGGUACCUGAUCAAGAAGCCACGGCUAACUACGUG
Molecule: ribosomal RNA, 497 nt
Filed under: uncultured bacterium
Lineage: Bacteria
Description: partial 16S ribosomal RNA
Rfam family: Bacterial small subunit ribosomal RNA
Source: RNAcentral